Small nuclear RNA from Cavia aperea (Brazilian guinea pig), 84 nucleotides. Its record names the gene U4. It matches the Rfam family "U4 spliceosomal RNA". Rfam says of the family: U4 small nuclear RNA (U4 snRNA) is a component of the major U2-dependent spliceosome. The structure of U4 snRNA from yeast and human has been reported. Lineage: Eukaryota; Metazoa; Chordata; Mammalia; Rodentia; Caviidae. The record is from Ensembl.
AGCUUUGUGCAGUGGCAGUAUUGUAGCUAAUGAGUCUAUCUAAAGCACAAUCAUUGCUAACUGUAAACUCUUCUCAAAGAAAGG